RNAcentral lists this transfer RNA (77 nucleotides) under Falsiruegeria mediterranea M17. RNAcentral describes it as "Ruegeria mediterranea M17 tRNA-Arg". It matches the Rfam family "tRNA". Rfam says of the family: Transfer RNA (tRNA) molecules are approximately 80 nucleotides in length. The record is from RNAcentral. Lineage: Bacteria; Pseudomonadati; Pseudomonadota; Alphaproteobacteria; Rhodobacterales; Roseobacteraceae.
GGUCCCAUAGCUCAGCUGGAUAGAGUGCUUGCCUCCGAAGCAAGAGGUCACAGGUUCGAAUCCUGUUGGGACCGCCA